Molecule: non-coding RNA, 159 nt
Organism: Triticum urartu
Lineage: Eukaryota; Viridiplantae; Streptophyta; Magnoliopsida; Poales; Poaceae
Source: Rfam
AUACUUACCUGGACAGGGUCUAUGGGCAAUCAAGAAGGCUCAUGGCCUAGAUCAAUGGUUCACAUUGCACAUAGUGAAUGUGUUGAUCUACCAUCUCCUUUUGGAGAGUGGACGUCAAAAUUUGUGUUAGAGUGGGGAACGCGUUCGCGCGGCCCCUGC